UAGGGAAUCUUCGGCAAUGGACGAAAGUCUGACCGAGCAACGCCGCGUGAGUGAAGAAGGUUUUUGGAUCGUAAAACUCUGUUGUUAGAGAAGAACAAGGACGUUAGUAACUGAACGUCCCCUGACGGUAUCUAACCAGAAAGCCACGGCUAACUACGUGCCAGCAGCCGCGGUAAUACGUAGGUGGCAAGCGUUGUCCGGAUUUAUUGGGCGUAAAGCGAGCGCAGGCGGUUUCUUAAGUCUGAUGUGAAAGCCCCCGGCUCAACCGGGGAGGGUCAUUGGAAACUGGGAGACUUGAGUGCAGAAGAGGAGGGUGGAAUUCCAUGUGUAGCGGUGAAAUGCGUAGAUAUAUGGAGGAACACCGGUGGCGAAGGCGGCUCUCUGGUCUGUAACUGACGCUGAGGCUCGAAAGCGUGGGGAGAAAACAGG
This 429-nucleotide ribosomal RNA is filed under the name Gemmatimonadota bacterium. RNAcentral's name for it is "Gemmatimonadetes bacterium partial 16S ribosomal RNA". It matches the Rfam family "Bacterial small subunit ribosomal RNA", at positions 355 to 776 of the family's 1533-position model. Lineage: Bacteria; Pseudomonadati; Gemmatimonadota. The record is from RNAcentral.